RNAcentral lists this transfer RNA (70 nucleotides) under Dipodomys ordii (Ord's kangaroo rat). It matches the Rfam family "tRNA". From Rfam's summary of the family: Transfer RNA (tRNA) molecules are approximately 80 nucleotides in length. The record is from Rfam by way of RNAcentral. Lineage: Eukaryota; Metazoa; Chordata; Mammalia; Rodentia; Heteromyidae.
GGCAAUGUGGCUUAGUGGUAGAGUGCUUGCCUAGCAUGCAUGAAUUCCUGGGUUCAAUUCCUCAGUACCA